This 402-nucleotide ribosomal RNA is filed under the name Nematoda environmental sample. RNAcentral's name for it is "SSU rRNA". It matches the Rfam family "Eukaryotic small subunit ribosomal RNA", at positions 29 to 436 of the family's 1831-position model. The record is from RNAcentral. Lineage: Eukaryota; Metazoa; Nematoda.
UGCUUGUCUCAAAGAUUAAGCCAUGCAUGUCUAAGCAGAGCCCUUGAAUGGUAAAGCCGCGAAUGGCUCAUUACAACAGCCACAGUUUAUUGGGUCUCCAUUUACUUGGAUAACUGAGCUAAUUGUUGAGCUAAUACACGCACCAAAGCUUCGACCUCACGGGAGGAGCGCAUUUAUUAGAACAAAACCAAUCGGACUUCGGUCCGUCCAUUGGUGAAUCUAAAUAACUUAGCCGAUCGCAUGGUCUCGCACCGGCGACUCACCUUUCAAAUGUCUGCCUUAUCACCUUUCGAUGGUAGUUUAUACGCCGACCAUGGGUUUUACGGGUAACGGAGAAUAAGGGUUCGACUCCGGAGAGGGAGCCUGAGAAACGGCUACCACAUCCRAGGAAGGCAGCAGGCA